CCCCUUUCAGCAGGGAAGAAGCGAGAGUGACGGUACCUGCAGAAGAAGCGCCGGCUAACUACGUGCCAGCAGCCGCGGUAAUACGUAGGGCGCAAGCGUUGUCCGGAAUUAUUGGGCGUAAAGAGCUCGUAGGCGGUUUGUCGCGUCUGCUGUGAAAACCCGAGGCUCAACCUCGGGCCUGCAGUGGGUACGGGCAGACUAGAGUGCGGUAGGGGAGACUGGAAUUCCUGGUGUAGCGGUGGAAUGCGCAGAUAUCAGGAGGAACACCGAUGGCGAAGGCAGGUCUCUGGGCCGCAACUGACGCUGAGGAGCGAAAGCGUGGGGAGCGAACAGGAUUAGAUACCCUGGUAGUCCACGCCGUAAACGUUGGGAACUAGAUGUGGGGUCCAUUCCACGGAUUCCGUGUCGCAGCUAACGCAUUAAGUUCCCCGCCUGGGGAGUACGGCCGCAAGGCUAAAACUCAAAGGAAUUGACGGGGGCCCGCACAAGCGGCGGAGCAUGCGGAUUAAUUCGAUGCAACGCGAAGAACCUUACCAAGGCUUGACAUACACCGGAAACGGCCAGAAAUGGUCGCCCCGCAAGGUCGGUGUACAGGUGGUGCAUGGUUGUCGUCAGCUCGU
RNAcentral lists this ribosomal RNA (620 nucleotides) under uncultured Cellulomonas sp. RNAcentral's name for it is "bacterial SSU rRNA". It matches the Rfam family "Bacterial small subunit ribosomal RNA", at positions 430 to 1063 of the family's 1533-position model. Lineage: Bacteria; Bacillati; Actinomycetota; Actinomycetes; Micrococcales; Cellulomonadaceae. The record is from RNAcentral.